Long non-coding RNA from Mya arenaria, 415 nucleotides. RefSeq lists it as uncharacterized. The transcript has 3 exons. NCBI's taxonomy places the organism in Eukaryota, Metazoa, Mollusca, Bivalvia, Myida, Myidae. The record is from RefSeq and is a predicted model, not a curated record.
GGCCUUACAACAACAGCAACGUACUCCUGUCCCGAUGGUUACGUCGUUACCGGCGAGUCCACGUUAACGUGUGGGGCCGACGGCAACUGGAGCGCAGAAACUUCUGACUGUGUAUGUGAUCCACCUACAGCCGUUGACGGCGGCUCGUUCGAGGUGUCGAGUGACGGCCUAACUGUGACGUUUACGUGCGAGGCGGGGUAUACAAUGGAUUGAGCGUCAGAGAUAGCCUGUGACACGGAGGGCGGGGGUUGGCAGAGUCCGUAUCCGAAGUGUAGCAAAUGUGAAGAUCUGGCGGCCCCUGCAUCCGGAAGUCUCAAGCUGAGUCCAGAUGGCACCGAGACGACCGCCAGAUUCCUGUGUGCUGUCGGGUACUCCCUUUCCGGUGCGUGGACGACCACUUGCCAGCCAGACGGGA